GGAUGUGAGGGCGACCUGGCUGCGACAUCUGUCACCCCAUUGAUCACCAGGGAUGAUUCGGUUGAUCUGGCUGGCUGGGCGGGGGGUCCCCUUCCUCCCUCACUGCUCCAUGUGCAUCCCUACCGAAGCUGCAUGCUGGAUCGAAGGGGACGACCACCCCGAUGGAGGAGGACCAUUUCCUCCAGCAGGGUUACACGAGUAGCUGCACUCCCCUGCUAGCAUUUCCAAACAAGCUCACCAGAGUCUUUUUUCUUUUGCACCUCUUUGCAGAGCAUCGGCUGCGAUGACUACCUGGGCUCCGACAAAGUUGUGGACAAGUGUGGGGU
Molecule: unclassified non-coding RNA, 326 nt
Organism: Fukomys damarensis (Damara mole-rat)
Lineage: Eukaryota; Metazoa; Chordata; Mammalia; Rodentia; Bathyergidae
Gene: 7SK
Rfam family: 7SK RNA
About the family: 7SK was discovered as an abundant small nuclear RNA in the mid-70s but a possible function has only recently been suggested. Two independent studies have found that 7SK RNA binds the CDK9/cyclin T complex (known as elongation factor P-TEFb).
Source: Ensembl